AGUCUUAUAUUCAAUAAUGAUUUAAAAUUGCAAAUUUUAAGGUGUAAUCUUACUAAGACUU
RNAcentral lists this transfer RNA (61 nucleotides) under Urodus decens. RNAcentral's name for it is "tRNA-Cys". The record is from RNAcentral. Lineage: Eukaryota; Metazoa; Arthropoda; Insecta; Lepidoptera; Urodidae.